GUCCUACCAACAGAACAAACCCCCCGGCUAAAUGGCCCCAGGGAUCCUUAAUGGAAAAAAAAAGGUACCCACCCCCCUACCUGGCCGGAAACGAAUUUCCCAGGGGCGGUGGUUUUCUUGGUUUAAAACAAAUGGAUCUUCGCCACCGAAAUCUUGGCUCCCCCCUCCAAUAAAAACCUUACCAAAUGGCAUUCCUGGUGGGGAUUUGCAAAUCCCCGGGACCCUCCAAUUUUUUAACCCCAGUUCCCCCCAAGCCCUCCGGUCCAAGGGCCCUUUUGCUGGGUGGCCAGGUACCUUUCCCUUCAACUCCCUCCGGGGGGAAAAUGGAACAAGGGCCGAAAAUUGUCCCCCCGUGGGUUCCGCUUCUCGUUGGGCCGAAAUUCAAUUCUUGGUGGUUGUGCACC
RNAcentral lists this ribosomal RNA (404 nucleotides) under Passiflora misera. Lineage: Eukaryota; Viridiplantae; Streptophyta; Magnoliopsida; Malpighiales; Passifloraceae. The record is from RNAcentral.